CCUACGGGAGGCAGCAGUGGGGAAUAUUGGACAAUGGGCGCAAGCCUGAUCCAGCAAUGCCACGUGAGUGAUGAAGGCCUUAGGGUCGUAAAGCUCUUUUACCAGGGAUGAUAAUGACAGUACCUGGAGAAUAAGCUCCGGCUAACUCCGUGCCAGCAGCCGCGGUAAUACGGAGGGAGCUAGCGUUGUUCGGAAUUACUGGGCGUAAAGCGUACGUAGGCGGUUAUUCAAGUCAGAGGUGAAAGCCCGGGGCUCAACCCCGGAACGGCCUUUGAAACUAGGUAGCUAGAAUCUUGGAGAGGUCAGUGGAAUUCCGAGUGUAGAGGUGAAAUUCGUAGAUAUUCGGAAGAACACCAGUGGCGAAGGCGACUGACUGGACAAGUAUUGACGCUGAGGUACGAAAGCGUGGGGAGCAAACAGGAUUAGAUACCCUGGUAGUCCACGCCGUAAACGAUGAUAACUAGCUGUCCGGGCACUUGGUGCCUGGGUGGCGCAGCUAACGCAUUAAGUUAUCCGCCUGGGGAGUACGGUCGCAAGNUUAAAACUUAAAGGAAUUGACGG
This 561-nucleotide ribosomal RNA is filed under the name uncultured bacterium. RNAcentral describes it as "bacterial SSU rRNA". It matches the Rfam family "Bacterial small subunit ribosomal RNA", at positions 338 to 916 of the family's 1533-position model. The record is from RNAcentral.